GAGGAUAUAGCUCAGUGGUAGAGUGCAUACUUGGUAUGUAUGAGGUCCUGGGUUCAAUCCCCAGUUCCUCC
Molecule: transfer RNA, 71 nt
Filed under: Camelus dromedarius (Arabian camel)
Lineage: Eukaryota; Metazoa; Chordata; Mammalia; Artiodactyla; Camelidae
Also listed under: 1 other name
Rfam family: tRNA
About the family: Transfer RNA (tRNA) molecules are approximately 80 nucleotides in length.
Source: Rfam by way of RNAcentral